AUGCUGAGGUCCUCGGGGAGGGACGGCGCGAGCGUUUGCCAUUUGGUCACGGCGUUGGCCGCGCCCUGGUCAAUGGUCUUUUGGAUGUUGGAGAACGUCACUGUCGACGGGACAGGUACCAGCCUGAUCUUCCACGACAGCACGAUGCCGAAGUUCCCGCCGCCGCCGCCGCGGAUGGCCCAGAAGAGGUCCGUGCCCAUGGCCUCCUUGUCCAGCAGCCUCCCGUUGGCGUCGACCAGCGUGGCGUCGAGGACGUUGUCGAUGGAGAGGCCGUACUUGCGCAUCAUCAUGCCGAUGCCGCCGCCGCUGAUGUGGCCGCCCAAGCCCAUGGUCGAGCACACGCCGGCAGGGAACGCGAGCCCGGGCGCCGCCUUGGCGACGGCGUGGUACAGCUCCCCGACCGUCGCGCCCGAGUCCACCCACGCGGUGGCCGCGCCCCGGUCGACGCGCACAGAGCGGAGGUUGGCGAGGUCGACCACCGCGAACACCUCGGGGCGCUCGGACCGGUACGAGAGCCCCUCGUAG
Molecule: ribosomal RNA, 525 nt
Filed under: Triticum aestivum (bread wheat)
Lineage: Eukaryota; Viridiplantae; Streptophyta; Magnoliopsida; Poales; Poaceae
Description: partial small subunit ribosomal RNA
Source: RNAcentral